Non-coding RNA from Podarcis lilfordi (Lilford's wall lizard), 73 nucleotides. Lineage: Eukaryota; Metazoa; Chordata; Lepidosauria; Squamata; Lacertidae. The record is from the annotation of a GenBank genome assembly.
CCUCUGGAAACUCAGUCAGCAGAACAUGAGACUCUUAAUCUCAGGGUCAUGGGUUCGAGACCCAUGUUGGGGA